This 253-nucleotide ribosomal RNA is filed under the name uncultured bacterium. RNAcentral's name for it is "partial 16S ribosomal RNA". It matches the Rfam family "Bacterial small subunit ribosomal RNA", at positions 524 to 776 of the family's 1533-position model. The record is from RNAcentral.
UACGUAGGGGCCUAGCGUUGUCCGGAUUUAUUUGGCGUAAAGAGCUCGUAGGCGGUCUGUCGCGUCGGCUGUGAAAACUCGGGGCUCAACCCCGAGCCUGCAGUCGAUACGGGCAGACUAGAGUGCUGUAGGGGAGACUGGAAUUCCUGGUGUAGCGGUGAAAUGCGCAGAUAUCAGGAGGAACACCGGUGGCGAAGGCGGGUCUCUGGGCAGUAACUGACGCUGAGGAGCGAAAGCGUGGGGAGCGAACAGG